Molecule: long non-coding RNA, 486 nt
Organism: Megalobrama amblycephala (Wuchang bream)
Lineage: Eukaryota; Metazoa; Chordata; Actinopteri; Cypriniformes; Xenocyprididae
Exons: 3
Source: RefSeq, a predicted model, not a curated record
UAUGUGUCUGUGGUACUAUGUAGUGUGUGUGAAUGAGUGACUGAGUCAGAAGGUUGUGAAUUCAGUGAGACGUCAUGAUGAACGUGAGCCAAGGCACAAUUUCCAAUUUCUCAUCCUCUCUUUCCACACUGACAGCUACUCAGUUAGUUAUUGAACGAGGAAGUCUGAAGCUCACAUCUUUACUGCAGUAAAUCCUGAAGAUACACCAGAUUUCAUCACAUUCAGAACGGCAGUGUCACGUCCUAGAGAAACCUCAUUGGUUCAAAAUCAUAAUUGUGUAUUAAACAUCACAUAAGUUCAGAUUGGUUGUAAUUGUGUCAAAUCAUUGUCUUUAAAGGAGAAUCAGGAGGAUGAAAAAGAGAAAUGACACACAGGAGUCUCAGAUGGUUGAUUCCAGACCUCAUCAUGACAGACACAAAGCUUGUGAUGUUGAAUUGAGUAAUCCUGUGUAUGGGAAUGUAACGGCUGAUCAGCUUGAUGAUUUUA